RNAcentral lists this ribosomal RNA (513 nucleotides) under uncultured bacterium. Its description in RNAcentral is "partial 16S ribosomal RNA". It matches the Rfam family "Bacterial small subunit ribosomal RNA", at positions 28 to 523 of the family's 1533-position model. The record is from RNAcentral.
GACGAACGCUGGCGGCGUGCCUAACACAUGCAAGUCGAACGGAGAAUCAGCAAUGGUUCUUAGUGGCGGACGGGUGAGUAACGCGUAGACAACCUGCCUUCUAGAUGGGGACAACACUGCGAAAGUGGUGCUAAUACCGAAUGUUGUAAUAAGCCUGCAUGGGUUUAAUACUAAAGGUGGCCUCUGACAUAAGCUAUCACUAGAAGAUGGGUCUGCGUCUGAUUAGCUAGUUGGUGAGGUAAUGGCUCACCAAGGCGAUGAUCAGUAGCCGGUCUGAGAGGAUGAACGGCCACACUGGGACUGAGACACGGCCCAGACUCCUACGGGAGGCAGCAGUGGGGAAUCUUCCGCAAUGGACGAAAGUCUGACGGAGCAACGCCGCGUGAGUGAAGAAGGUUUUCGGAUCGUAAAGCUCUGUCUUUGAGGACGAAUGUGUCUAAUGUGAAUAAUGUUAGAUAAUGACGGUACUCGAGGAGGAAGCCACGGCUAACUACGUGCCAGCCGCCGCCGUAA